AAAGAUUUAGUUAAACUAAUAACAUCAAAAUGUCAAAUUGAAAUUAUUUUUAUAAAUAAUCUUUU
Molecule: transfer RNA, 65 nt
Filed under: Lachesilla pedicularia
Lineage: Eukaryota; Metazoa; Arthropoda; Insecta; Psocodea; Lachesillidae
Description: tRNA-Asp
Source: RNAcentral